This 492-nucleotide ribosomal RNA is filed under the name uncultured bacterium. RNAcentral's name for it is "partial 16S ribosomal RNA". It matches the Rfam family "Bacterial small subunit ribosomal RNA", at positions 29 to 507 of the family's 1533-position model. The record is from RNAcentral.
AGUGAACGCUGGCGGUAGGCCUAACACAUGCAAGUCGAACGGCAGCACAGUAAGAGCUUGCUCUUACGGGUGGCGAGUGGCGGACGGGUGAGGAAUACAUCGGAAUCUACUUUCUCGUGGGGGAUAACGUAGGGAAACGUACGCUAAUACCGCAUACGACCUACGGGUGAAAGCAGGGGAUCUUCGGACCUUGCGCGAUUGAAUGAGCCGAUGUCGGAUUAGCUAGUUGGCGGGGUAAAGGCCCACCAAGGCGACGAUCCGUAGCUGGUCUGAGAGGAUGAUCAGCCACACUGGAACUGAGACACGGUCCAGACUCCUACGGGAGGCAGCGGUGGGGAAUAUUGGACAAUGGGCGCAAGCCUGAUCCAGCCAUACCGCGUGGGUGAAGGAGGCCUUCGGGUUGUAAAUCUCUUUUGUUGGGAAAGAAAAGCAGCAGGUUAAUACCCCGCUGUUCUGACGGUACCCAAAGAAUAAGCACCGGCUAACUUCGUG